Molecule: long non-coding RNA, 1971 nt
Organism: Equus asinus (donkey)
Lineage: Eukaryota; Metazoa; Chordata; Mammalia; Perissodactyla; Equidae
Source: Ensembl
GAAAGGCAAGUUUCCCAAACUCUGACAGCAACACGGAACACCUGAGGCACGCUUACCCUCUAGUGGGGCCCAAGAAUCACGCCAAGCAGAUGAAGGAAGGGGCGGUGACGCAACUAGGCCUCCUGCAGCAGGGCCAGCCCAAGGCAGAGCGCGGCGGCCGUGACCCCGCAGCCGGCUCUCGGCGGCCGCCGCCUACGCCUCCCCCGGAGAAUGGCAUGUCCUUAUCUGGGGAUUCCAGAAUGGAGACGCUGUCUGGAGGAGAGUCUAGCAGUGGACCUGGAGUCAACACAUACAGCAAGCAAAAAAACAGUAACUCUUACCCUCAGCUGGAUCUGGUGACCCGAAGCUAGACCCCUUAAGUUUUGCUUUCUUCAGAGAAUCAGCCCAAGUCUUGCACUGGCGUGGGAGAGGGGCCGACACAAGAGUGCACCGGGAAGGAGGAAGACUGCUGCUUCAGCUAUUUCUCAAAUAGACUUUCAACCGAUCUUCCUAAUUUUAGCCCCACUUUUAUCCUCACUUCUGGAGCUCCCCGAUGCCAUAAAAUGCUGACCUUUGGGGGCUUCUGCAGUGCAUAUCAGGUUCCUUCUCACAUGUAAAUAUUUUUUUGAAGUCUGUCACUUAUCUUUGAACUUUGCAUAUGGUGUCAUUCAUUGUUUAGAAGUUUUUCAUUAUAAUGAGGUCAAAUCUGUCCAUCUUCCCUUUUCCUUUGGUUGUGUUCCAAUCACAAUUUAUUAAAUGAGCCUUCCUUUCCUCACUGAUUGGAACUGUCACAUUCAUAUACAUAAACUACCAUAAACUAAAUAUCCAUGUAUACAUGGUUCUCUUUCCAGACUCCAUUAAGUUCCAUCGAUUUUUGUAGAUUCCUGUACCAAUACCUUACUGUUUUAAUUGCUAUACAAUAAGAUUUUUCAGUAUCUGGCCAGUUGAGUACUCCCUUACCCUUGCUGUUAUUGUCCUUUUUUAGAAUGUUUCUGGUAUUCUUGCAAUUUUUAUUUAAUAUGAACUUUAAAAUUAGCUUGUCAAAAUCCACAACAAAUACUGCUGGGAUAUUGAUUGGGAUCGCAUUGAUUUUAUAUAUUAAUUUGGGGAGAAUCAGUAAACUUACAAUAUUGAAUCUUACAUUUAGGAACAUAAGGGGCCUUGUUCAGAUUGCCUGUGUUCAAAUCUUAUCUCCACCAUUUGCUAAAUAGACAUAAACUUUGGCAAGUUUAUUAAUCUCCCUAAGCCCCAGUUUCCUAAUCUAUAAAACUGGGGGUAAUGAUAACAGCGCCUCCCUCAAAAAAUUAAACAAUCCUCACAAAGCUCCUAGCAAGAUACAUGGCACCUGUAAGGAGUCAAUAAAUGUUCACAAUUAUUAUUAUAGCACAUGGCAAUGGACUGAAUGUUUGUCUCAGGAUUAAUAUUUCCCCUGUGAACUGCAAUGCCACUUCUGUCAUAUGUUGAGUUUCUGUUUAUUAACUAGUCUGUUUCUGGACUCUUGAAUCCAUUCCAUUUGUCUACAUAUCUAUCCCUGAGCCAACAUCAUUCAUUCAUUCAGUAUUUAUUGACCACCUACAAUGUGCAGGUCCUAAUUUAGGCACUUAGAAUGCAUCAGUGAACAAAACAGCUAACGAUCUUCCCCUCUAGUGGAAUCCCACAAUUAUCUUAAUUAUUAUAGCUUUAAAAUACGUCCUGAUUCUUGUUAUAUGAUUGGGCUAGUCCUCUUACUUUGUUUCAUUUUUUAAUAGUUAUGAUUAACUCUUUUUAAACACUUUUCGUUUUGAAAUAAUUCUAGAUUCACAGGAAUUUGCAAAUAAAAAAAAUUUACAGGGAAGCCUGGUGUACCCUCCACUCAGUUUCCUCUCAAGAUGUUAUCCCCAAGGUUUAUGCUAACAUCUUGCAUAACUACAGUAUAAUGUCAAAACCAGGAAGUUUACAUUGGUUCAAUCCACAAGGCUUAUUUAGAUUUCACCAGUUUUACAUGCUCACAUC